Molecule: long non-coding RNA, 430 nt
Filed under: Prunus persica (peach)
Lineage: Eukaryota; Viridiplantae; Streptophyta; Magnoliopsida; Rosales; Rosaceae
Description: long non-coding RNA (PPER_LNC006133)
Source: RNAcentral
AGUCAUCAGGACUGAAUCUGUAGGAUACAGGUUGACCGGGAUUAAUCCAAUCAUGAUUUGAACAAAUUGGGUGGGAGUCGGCACAGUCAAGGUGCUUGAGGUAUUCUUGCUUACGGUCACCAUUGAGCUUGUCCCAGAAAGCUCAGAUAAGAUUGCCUCAAUAGACUGCCUAUUUGCUUCUUUCUUCCGCAAAGCACGUGCAGCCCUCUUUCUUGCAUUUCGGAGAGCAUUCUUGGACGGUGUUUUCUUCAUUUGGGUCUUGACGACCUUAGGAGUGACCUGAGUCCUGGGCCCCCUAUGAAUGGGCUUUGAAACGACGCACUUGAUGAGGCUCUCAGUAAUAACGAAAGUCUUCCUGAAGCCUACUUGUUUGGUGCACGCAUUCCUAGUAGUUUUGAUCUUGUGGAAGAAAAUUGUAACUUGUGGUGCC